AAGGAUUUAAGUUAAUUAAACUAAUAACCUUCAAAGUUAUAAAUAGAAAAGUUUUCUAAGCCUUA
This 65-nucleotide transfer RNA is filed under the name Cucujoidea sp. 1 KM-2017. Its description in RNAcentral is "tRNA-Trp". Lineage: Eukaryota; Metazoa; Arthropoda; Insecta; Coleoptera. The record is from RNAcentral.